GCUCAAGUGGUGGAAUUGGUAGACACGCUGGACUUAAAAUCCAGUGGGCAGAAAUGCCCGUAUGGGUUCAAGUCCCAUCUUGAGUACAA
RNAcentral lists this transfer RNA (89 nucleotides) under Wenyingzhuangia fucanilytica. Its description in RNAcentral is "tRNA-Leu". It matches the Rfam family "tRNA". From Rfam's summary of the family: Transfer RNA (tRNA) molecules are approximately 80 nucleotides in length. Their secondary structure includes four short double-helical elements and three loops (D, anti-codon, and T loops). The record is from RNAcentral. Lineage: Bacteria; Pseudomonadati; Bacteroidota; Flavobacteriia; Flavobacteriales; Flavobacteriaceae.